RNAcentral lists this ribosomal RNA (253 nucleotides) under uncultured bacterium. Its description in RNAcentral is "partial 16S ribosomal RNA". It matches the Rfam family "Bacterial small subunit ribosomal RNA", at positions 524 to 776 of the family's 1533-position model. The record is from RNAcentral.
GACAGAGGGUGCGAACGUUGUUCGGAAUUACUGGGCGUAAAGGGCUCGUAGGCGGCCAACUAAGUCCGACGUGAAAUCCCCAGGCUCAACCUGGGAACUGCGUCGGAUACUGGAUGGCUUGAAUUCGGGAGAGGGAUGCAGAAUUCCAGGUGUAGCGGUGAAAUGCGUAGAUAUCUGGAGGAAUACCGGUGGCGAAGGCGGCAUCCUGGACCGACAUUGACGCUGAUGAGCGAAAGCUAGGGGAGCAAACGGG